CGGGGUUUGUGGAGCCGCGCGGGAGAGAAGUGUGCCAUACUCCAGAUCCUGCUCAGCAGCGGAGGGCCUGCAGGACGCUGAUUCUUUGUUCUCCUGAGACUUCUCUUGACCUCUGGUGCUGCAGUGAGAGAAUGGGACGAGUUCAGAAGCUUGGAAUGGCAUUUUGAGAAGAAAACACGCAGAGUGUCAGGAUAAAAUGGGAGAGCUUGGAAGCUUGGAAUCGUGAACAUAGGUUCAUGGUGUAUAACCAAUGUAGGAUGGUCUGGAUGGAUCGGAUCCCAUCAGAACUUGCUCUCGCCACUGGUGUUUCUCUGAGUUUGCAUCAAGUAUUCAUCUUUACUUUCAUGUCUACACUUGGGCCUGGAGA
Long non-coding RNA from Dipodomys spectabilis (banner-tailed kangaroo rat), 367 nucleotides. RefSeq lists it as uncharacterized. The record is from RefSeq and is a predicted model, not a curated record. Lineage: Eukaryota; Metazoa; Chordata; Mammalia; Rodentia; Heteromyidae. The transcript is spliced from 3 exons.